UGCGUAGGCGGAAUAUUAAGUCAGUGGUGAAAUCCUGCGGCUCAACCGUAGAACUGCCAUUGAUACUGAUACUCUUGAAUGUAGUUGAGGUAGGCGGAAUGUGUAAUGUAGCGGUGAAAUGCUUAGAUAUUACACAGAACACCGAUUGCGAAGGCAGCUUACUAAACUAUGAUUGACGCUGAGGCACGAAAGCGUGGGGAGCGAACAGGAUUAGAUACCCUGGUAGUCC
Molecule: ribosomal RNA, 229 nt
Filed under: uncultured bacterium
Lineage: Bacteria
Description: partial 16S ribosomal RNA
Rfam family: Bacterial small subunit ribosomal RNA
Source: RNAcentral